Molecule: ribosomal RNA, 481 nt
Filed under: uncultured bacterium
Lineage: Bacteria
Description: partial 16S ribosomal RNA
Rfam family: Bacterial small subunit ribosomal RNA
Source: RNAcentral
UUGAACGCUGGCGGCAUGCCUUACACAUGCAAGUCGCACGGUAACGGGCCUUCGGGUGCCGACGAGUGGCGAACGGGUGAGUAAUACAUCGGAACGUGCCCGAUCGUGGGGGAUAACGAGGCGAAAGCUCUGCUAAUACCGCAUACGAUCUACGGAUGAAAGCAGGGGACCGCAAGGCCUUGCGCGGACGGAGCGGCCGAUGGCAGAUUAGGUAGUUGGUGGGAUAAAAGCUUACCAAGCCGACGAUCUGUAGCUGGUCUGAGAGGAUGAUCAGCCACACUGGGACUGAGACACGGCCCAGACUCCUACGGGAGGCAGCAGUGGGGAAUUUUGGACAAUGGGCGCAAGCCUGAUCCAGCCAUGCCGCGUGCAGGAUGAAGGCCUUCGGGUUGUAAACUGCUUUUGUACGGAACGAAAAGCCUUCUUUUAAUACAGGAGGGUCAUGACGGUACCGUAAGAAUAAGCACCGGCUAACUACGUG